RNAcentral lists this ribosomal RNA (319 nucleotides) under Chloropicon mariensis. Its description in RNAcentral is "partial Eukaryotic small subunit ribosomal RNA". It matches the Rfam family "Eukaryotic small subunit ribosomal RNA", at positions 600 to 924 of the family's 1831-position model. The record is from RNAcentral. Lineage: Eukaryota; Viridiplantae; Chlorophyta; Chloropicophyceae; Chloropicales; Chloropicaceae.
UAUAUAAAAGUUGCUCCGGUUAAAAAGCUCGUAGUUGGAUCUCAGUUCUAGACUGGUGGUCCACCUCUGGUGGUUACUACCUGGCCUAAACAAUUUGCCGGUUUUCCCUUGGUGCUUUUCACCGAGUGUCUUGGGGGACUGGUACGUUUACUUUGAAGAAACUAGAGUGCUCAAAGCAGGCGUAACGCCCGAAUAAUGUUGCAUGGAAUAAUGGAAUAGGACCUCGGUUCUAUUGUGUUGGUUUUCGGAGCCCGAGGUAAUGAUUAAAAGGGACAGACGGGGGCAUUCGUAUUGCGGCGCUAGAGGUGAAAUUCUUGGA